CCCGGGCUGUUGACUGUACCCGGUGGAGGAAGCACGGCUAACUCUGUGCCAGCAGCCGCGGUAAUACAGAGGUGGCGAGCGUUGUUCGGAAUUACUGGGCGUAAAGGGCGCGUAGGCGGCUCGACAAGUCCCGCGUGAAAUCCCCCGGCUCAACUGGGGAACUGCGCGGGAAACUGUCGGACUUGAGUUCGGGAGAGGGAAGCGGAAUUCCGGGUGUAGCGGUGAAAUGCGUAGAUAUCCGGAGGAACACCGGUGGCGAAGGCGGCUUCCUGGACCGACACUGACGCUGAGGCGCGAAAGCUAGGGGAGCAAACGGGAUUAGAUACCCCGGUAGUCCUAGCCCUAAACGAUGAGCGCUGGGUGUAGGGGGUUUUAACCCCCCCUGUGCCGAAGCUAACGCAUUAAGCGCUCCGCCUGGGGAGUACGGUCGCAAGGCUGAAACUCAAAGGAAUUGGCGGGGGCCCGCACAAGCGGUGGAGCAUGUGGUUCAAUUCGACGCAACGCGAAGAACCUUACCGGGGUUUGAACUGUGCAGGACAGGUGCAGAGAUGCACUGUUCCUUCGGGACCUGUAUAGAGGUGCUGCAUGGCUGUCGUCAGCUCGUGUCGUGAGAUGUUGGGUUAAGUCCCGCAACGAGCGCAACCCUUGCCUCCUGUUGCUAACAGGUAAAGCUGAGCACUCUGGAGAGACUGCCGGUGAUAAACCGGAGGAAGGUGGGGAUGACGUCAAGUCCUCAUGGCCUUUAUGCCCCGGGCUACACACGUGCUACAAUGGCUGGUACAAAGGGUCGCAAAACCGCGAGGUGGAGCUAAUCCCAAAAAACCAGUCCCAGUUCGGAUUGCAGUCUGCAACUCGACUGCAUGAAGUUGGAAUCGCUAGUAAUCGCGGAUCAGCAUGCCGCGGUGAAUACGUUCCCGGGCCUUGUACACACCGCCCGUCACAUCACGAAAGCCGGCUGUACUAGAAGUCGCUGCGCCGACCCGUAAGGGGGGCAGGCGCCCACGGUAUGGUCGGUGAUUGGGGUGAAGUCGUAACAAGGUA
Molecule: ribosomal RNA, 1041 nt
Filed under: uncultured Acidobacteriota bacterium
Lineage: Bacteria; Pseudomonadati; Acidobacteriota
Description: bacterial SSU rRNA
Rfam family: Bacterial small subunit ribosomal RNA
Source: RNAcentral